RNAcentral lists this ribosomal RNA (467 nucleotides) under uncultured bacterium. Its description in RNAcentral is "partial 16S ribosomal RNA". It matches the Rfam family "Bacterial small subunit ribosomal RNA", at positions 28 to 506 of the family's 1533-position model. The record is from RNAcentral.
GACGAACGCUGGCGGCGUGCUUAACACAUGCAAGUCGAACGGAAAGGCCCUGCUUUUGUGGGGUGCUCGAGUGGCGAACGGGUGAGUAACACGUGAGUAACCUGCCCUUGACUUUGGGAUAACUUCAGGAAACUGGGGCUAAUACCGGAUAGGAGCUCCUGCUGCAUGGUGGGGGUUGGAAAGUUUCGGCGGUUGGGGAUGGACUCGCGGCUUAUCAGCUUGUUGGUGGGGUAGUGGCUUACCAAGGCUUUGACGGGUAGCCGGCCUGAGAGGGCGACCGGCCACAUUGGGACGGAGAUACGGCCCAGACUCCUACGGGAGGCAGCAGUGGGGAAUAUUGCACAAUGGGCGGAAGCCUGAUGCAGCAACGCCGCGUGCGGGAUGACGGCCUUCGGGUUGUAAACCGCUUUCGCCUGUGACGAAGCGUGAGUGACGGGAAUGGGUAAAGAAGCACCGGCUAACUACGU